UGACUGGCAGCUAGCACUCUGCAACUCUCACAUGGUCGCCCACUGAAGCUAAGCAGGGCUGUGCCCGGUCAGUACCUGGAUGGGAGACCACAUGGGAAAGCUAGGUUGCCAAUUGG
RNAcentral lists this ribosomal RNA (116 nucleotides) under Danio rerio (zebrafish). Lineage: Eukaryota; Metazoa; Chordata; Actinopteri; Cypriniformes; Danionidae. The record is from RNAcentral.